CGGAGGGUGCAAGCGUUAUCCGGAUUUACUGGGUUUAAAGGGUGUGUAGGCGGGCUUUUAAGUCAGCGGUGAAAUCUCCGGGCUCAACCCGGAAACUGCCAUUGAUACUAUUAGUCUUGAAUUCUGUUGAGGUAGGCGGAAUAAGUCAUGUAGCGGUGAAAUGCAUAGAUAUGACUUAGAACACCAAUUGCGAAGGCAGCUUGCUAAACAGAUAUUGACGCUGAGGCACGAAAGCGUGGGGAUCAAACAGGAUUAGAUACCCUGGUAGUCCACGCCCUAAACGAUGAUUACUCGACAUACGCGAGACACAGUGUGUGUCUGAGCGAAAGCAUUAAGUAAUCCACCUGGGAAGUACGACCGCAAGGUUG
This 368-nucleotide ribosomal RNA is filed under the name uncultured organism. RNAcentral's name for it is "bacterial SSU rRNA". It matches the Rfam family "Bacterial small subunit ribosomal RNA", at positions 526 to 896 of the family's 1533-position model. The record is from RNAcentral.